ACUGAACGCUGGCGGCAUGCCUUACACAUGCAAGUCGAACGGCAGCGGACCUUCGGGUGCCGGCGAGUGGCGAACGGGUGAGUAAUGCAUCGGAACGUGCCAUUGAGUGGGGGAUAACGUAGCGAAAGUUGCGCUAAUACCGCAUAUUCUGUGAGCAGGAAAGCAGGGGACCGCAAGGCCUUGCGCUCUUUGAGCGGCCGAUGUCAGAUUAGCUAGUUGGUGAGGUAACGGCUUACCAAGGCGACGAUCUGUAGCGGGUCUGAGAGGAUGAUCCGCCACACUGGAACUGAGACACGGUCCAGACUCCUACGGGAGGCAGCAGUGGGGAAUUUUGGACAAUGGGGGCAACCCUGAUCCAGCCAUGCCGCGCGAGUGAAGAAGGCCUCGG
RNAcentral lists this ribosomal RNA (388 nucleotides) under uncultured bacterium. RNAcentral's name for it is "bacterial SSU rRNA". It matches the Rfam family "Bacterial small subunit ribosomal RNA", at positions 30 to 420 of the family's 1533-position model. The record is from RNAcentral.